Molecule: microRNA precursor, 124 nt
Filed under: Solanum lycopersicum (tomato)
Lineage: Eukaryota; Viridiplantae; Streptophyta; Magnoliopsida; Solanales; Solanaceae
Description: MIR1919 microRNA precursor family
Rfam family: MIR1919 microRNA precursor family
Source: Rfam by way of RNAcentral
AUCUUCUGGUAGUCCUGUCGCAGAUGACUUUCGCCCUUCUAAGGAACCACACUUUCUGUAAAUCUAAUUAAUUUGAAUUCAAUGUGGCAGGACGAGAGUCAUCUGUGACAGGAUAAUGGAAGAU